CGAACGCUGGCGGCGUGCCUAAUACAUGCAAGUCGAGCGGACGUUUUUGAAGCUUGCUUCAAAAACGUUAGCGGCGGACGGGUGAGUAACACGUGGGCAACCUACCUUAUCGACUGGGAUAACUCCGGGAAACCGGGGCUAAUACCGGAUAACAUCUAGCACCUCCUGGUGCCGGAUUAAAAGAGGGCUUCUUGCUCUCACGAUGAGAUGGGCCCGCGGCGCAUUAGCUAGUUGGAGAGGUAACGGCUCCCCAAGGCGACGAUGCGUAGCCGACCUGAGAGGGUGAUCGGCCACACUGGGACUGAGACACGGCCCAGACUCCUACGGGAGGCAGCAGUAGGGAAUCUUCCGCAAUGGACGAAAGUCUGACGGAGCAACGCCGCGUGAGUGAUGAAGGGUUUCGGCUCGUAAAGCUCUGUUAUGAGGGAAGAACACGUACCGUUCGAAUAGGGCGGUACCUUGACGGUACCUCAUCAGAAAGCCACGGCUAACUACGUGCCAGCAGCCGCGGUAAUACGUAGGUGGCAAGCGUUGUCCGGAAUUAUUGGGCGUAAAGCGCGCGCAGGCGGCCUUUUAAGUCUGAUGUGAAAUCUUGCGGCUCAACCGCAAGCGGCCAUUGGAAACUGGGAGGCUUGAGUACAGAAGAGGAGAGUGGAAUUCCACGUGUAGCGGUGAAAUGCGUAGAUAUGUGGAGGAACACCAGUGGCGAAGGCGACUCUCUGGUCUGUAACUGACGCUGAGGCGCGAAAGCGUGGGGAGCAA
This 762-nucleotide ribosomal RNA is filed under the name Bacillus sp. H761. Its description in RNAcentral is "bacterial SSU rRNA". It matches the Rfam family "Bacterial small subunit ribosomal RNA", at positions 30 to 771 of the family's 1533-position model. The record is from RNAcentral. Lineage: Bacteria; Bacillati; Bacillota; Bacilli; Caryophanales; Bacillaceae.